AUUGAACGCUGGCGGCAUGCCUUACACAUGCAAGUCGAACGGCAGCACGGGAGCAAUCCUGGUGGCGAGUGGCGAACGGGUGAGUAAUAUAUCGGAACGUGCCCAGUCGUGGGGGAUAACGUAGCGAAAGCUACGCUAAUACCGCAUACUAUCUAUGGAUGAAAGCGGGGGAUCGCAAGACCUCGCGCGAUUGGAGCGGCCGAUAUCAGAUUAGGUAGUUGGUGAGGUAAAGGCUCACCAAGCCGACGAUCUGUAGCUGGUCUGAGAGGACGACCAGCCACACUGGGACUGAGACACGGCCCAGACUCCUACGGGAGGCAGCAGUGGGGAAUUUUGGACAAUGGGCGCAAGCCUGAUCCAGCAAUGCCGCGUGAGUGA
RNAcentral lists this ribosomal RNA (378 nucleotides) under uncultured bacterium. RNAcentral's name for it is "bacterial SSU rRNA". It matches the Rfam family "Bacterial small subunit ribosomal RNA", at positions 30 to 408 of the family's 1533-position model. The record is from RNAcentral.